CGAAUGCUGACAUAAGUAACGAUAAAGCGGGUGAAAAGCCCGCUCGCCGGAAGACCAAGGGUUCCUGUCCAACGUUAAUCGGGGCAGGGUGAGUCGACCCCUAAGGCGAGGCCGAAAGGCGUAGUCGAUGGGAAACAGGUUAAUAUUCCUGUACUUGGUGUUACUGCGAAGGGGGGACGGAGAAGGCUAUGUUGGCCGGGCGACGGUUGUCCCGGUUUAAGCGUGUAGGCUGGUUUUCCAGGCAAAUCCGGAAAAUCAAGGCUGAGGCGUGAUGACGAGGCACUACGGUGCUGAAGCAACAAAUGCCCUGCUUCCAGGAAAAGCCUCUAAGCAUCAGGUAACAUCAAAUCGUACCCCAAACCGACACAGGUGGUCAGGUAGAGAAUACCAAGGCGCUUGAGAGAACUCGGGUGAAGGAACUAGGCAAAAUGGUGCCGUAACUUCGGGAGAAG
This 452-nucleotide ribosomal RNA is filed under the name Escherichia coli. RNAcentral's name for it is "partial 23S ribosomal RNA". It matches the Rfam family "Bacterial large subunit ribosomal RNA", at positions 1291 to 1745 of the family's 2925-position model. Lineage: Bacteria; Pseudomonadati; Pseudomonadota; Gammaproteobacteria; Enterobacterales; Enterobacteriaceae. The record is from RNAcentral.